RNAcentral lists this non-coding RNA (102 nucleotides) under Botrytis cinerea B05.10. The record is from RNAcentral. Lineage: Eukaryota; Fungi; Ascomycota; Leotiomycetes; Helotiales; Sclerotiniaceae.
GCCCAAGAAGAGUUUGGCCUUCGCGUGGCCUUGGGCGUCAGUAUUCGAGGACGGAUAUAUCCAAAUCUACAUCCAAACCAACCUCGAAGAAGCUAAUAAACU